CUCCUGGAAACGGGUGGUAAUGCCGGAUGCUCCGACUCCUCGCAUGGGGUGUCGGGAAAGAUUUCAUCGGUAUGGGAUGGGGUCGCGUCCUAUCAGGUAGUCGGCGGGGUAACGGCCCACCGAGCCUACGACGGGUAGCCGGCCUGAGAGGGCGACCGGCCACAUUGGGACUGAGAUACGGCCCAGACUCCUACGGGAGGCAGCAGUGGGGAAUAUUGCACAAUGGGCGCAAGCCUGAUGCAGCGACGCCGCGUGCGGGAUGACGGCCUUCGGGUUGUAAACCGCUUUUGAUCGGGAGCAAGCCUUCGGGUGAGUGUACCUUUCGAAUAAGCACCGGCUAACUACGUGCCAGCAGCCGCGGUAAUACGUAGGGUGCAAGCGUUAUCCGGAAUUAUUGGGCGUAAAGGGCUCGUAGGCGGUUCGUCGCGUCCGGUGUGAAAGUCCAUCGCUUAACGGUGGAUCCGCGCCGGGUACGGGCGGGCUUGAGUGCGGUAGGGGAGACUGGAAUUCCCGGUGUAACGGUGGAAUGUGUAGAUAUCGGGAAGAACACC
RNAcentral lists this ribosomal RNA (551 nucleotides) under uncultured bacterium. RNAcentral's name for it is "bacterial SSU rRNA". It matches the Rfam family "Bacterial small subunit ribosomal RNA", at positions 147 to 710 of the family's 1533-position model. The record is from RNAcentral.